ACUGGGGUGGCAGAGCAUGGUCAAUUGCCAAAGGCCUAAGCCCUUUAAACAGGGGUUCAAGUCCCCUUCCCAGUU
This 75-nucleotide transfer RNA is filed under the name Folifer brevifilis. RNAcentral describes it as "tRNA-Leu". It matches the Rfam family "tRNA". From Rfam's summary of the family: Transfer RNA (tRNA) molecules are approximately 80 nucleotides in length. The record is from RNAcentral. Lineage: Eukaryota; Metazoa; Chordata; Actinopteri; Cypriniformes; Cyprinidae.